CUUUUUGCCAUUUCUUGGGCCGCUCCCACGGCACAUGGAGGUUCCCAGGCUAGGGGUCGAAUCGGAGCUGUAGCUACCGGCCUACGCCACAGCCACAGCAACGCGGGAUCCGAGCCGCAUCUGCCACCUACACCACAGCUCACGGCAACAAUGGAUCGUUAACCCACUGAGCAAGGGCAGGGAUUGAACCCUCAACCUCAUGGUUCCUAGUCGGAUUCAUUAACCACUGGGCCACGACAGGACUUCCAAUACCGGCAUUUUUAAGCAAAAUGGAUGGACCUAGAAAUUAUCAUGCUAAGUGAAUUCAGUCAGACAAUGAGACACCAACAUCAAAUGCUCUCACUGACAUGUGGAAUCUGAAAAAAGGACACAAUGAACUUCUUUGCAGAACAGAUACUGACUCAGACUUUGAAAAACAUAUGGUUUCCAAAGGAGACAAUUCAGGGUUUGGGGAGAUGUGCUGGGGUUCUGGGAUGGAAAUCCUAUAAAAUUGGAUUCUGAUGAUCAUUGUACAACUAUAAAUGUAAUAGAUUCAUCGAAUAAUUAAAAAAAAAUUUCCCUCGUAGUUAUGAAAACUGAAUUCUGAGUCCUUUGUGUGUUGCUUGUUUUUCAGCUUAUAAACAUUUUGCCCAAAGAGCCACAGCAAUGCCAGAUCCAAGCCGCUCUGUGAUCCACAACACAGCUCAUGGCAACGCUGGAUCCUUAACCCACUCAGCAAGGCCAGGGAUGGAGCCCACAACCUCAUCCUUCCUAGUUGGAUUCAUUAACCACUGAGCCACAAUGGGAACUCCUUUUUUGUUGUUGUUGUUGGUUUGUUUCUAUGCUCAAACAAGCUCCCUAAAGUUUGAACAGGGACUGAGUGGUUUGGGAUUUCUUGAGUGUGAUCUGUAGGGUCAGAGGACCCUUAUAUGUGGAAUCUAAAAAAAAAAAAAAAACCCAAAACAAACAUAACUAAACAGAAACAGUCAUAGAUAUUAAGAAUAAACAGGAGGUUGUCAGAGGGCAAGGAGCCGGGGGCGGGGGGGGUGGGGGAAUGAGAAAAAUAGGCGAGGGAGAUUAAGAGGUAACAAAUGUUUAGCUGCAAAAUCUGCGUCAAGGGUAUGAAAUGUACGUGCAGGGAGUACAGGCAAUAAUUACGUAAUGUCUCUGCAUGGCGACAUAUCAUAACUAGACUUUUGUGGUGAUCAUUUUGAAAUGUAAAAAAAAUAGUGAAUCACUAUGUUGUGUACCAGGAGCCAAGAGAGUGUUGUAGGUCAACUCUACUUCAAAAGUAUACAAACUCGUAGUUCUCUUGUGGCCACAUAAGGUUAAGAAUCUGGUGUUGUCACUGUGGUGGCUUGGGUCACUGCUGUGGUGUGUGGGUUUGAUCUGUGGCCUGGGAACUUCCAUAUGCUGUGAGCGCAGCACCCCCGCAAAAAAAGAAGCAUAUGAACUCAUAGAAAAAUAGAUCAGAUUUGUGAUCAGCAGGGUUAGAGGACGUGGGGGAGGGAAGAUUGGAGGAAGGUAGUCAAAAGGUACAAACUUCCAGUUAUAAAUAAGUACUAGGGAUGUAAUGUACACCAUGCUAGAGAUAGUACUGCUGUAUGUUACAAAUGAAAGAGAGUAAAUCCUGAGUUCUCACCAAAGGAAAAAAGGCUUUUUUUUGUUUCUUUAAUGUUAUAUCUAUAUGAGAUGAUGAAAGUCCACUAAACUUACUGCGGUCAUCAUUUCACGAUACAUUUAAGUGAAAUUAUUAUUCUGUGUACCUUAAACUUAUACAGUGAUGUGUGUCAAUACAGCUCAAUAAAACUGGAAGAAAAACAAAUAUAUAGAUAAACCCUGUGAUUAGAACUAAAUUAAAAAAAAAAGUGCCAGAAGCUAGACCUCACCAAUUCAGGUCUGAACAUCAGGGUAUUUUAAAAGCUCACUAGGUGAUUCUGAUGUGUACUAGGAUUCAGAAUUCAUUGGACCAGUCACUUAGUUUCUGUGACUACCAGUUUGCAGCUCAUGGAGAUGAUAUUAGGAUACUAACAGCAUCUGCUACCUAAGAAACAUGUUCAAAAUAAAUGGUUUGGUACAUAAAGUUGCAGCUCAAGUCAGCAUAUAAUGAUGCACAAUAAAUUUAAGAUCUCAGUCCACUCCUUCCUUCUGACAGACUGGUUUCAGAGGCAGAUUCUAGUUUUCUCCAAAGAAACAGUGCUUUUCAAACUAGUGAGGAGUAACCUUGAUUUUGGCUACUAUAUUAGCUCUCUAUUGCCCCAGUAACAAAUUAAGCAGCUUAAAACAACACCAAUCUGGAGUUCCCGUUGUGGUUCAGUGGUUAAUCAACCCCACUAGGAUCCAUGAGGGUGCAAGUUCAAUUCCUGGCUUCGCUCAGUGGGUUGAGGAUCCGGGGUUGCUGUGAGCUGUGGUGUAGGUCGCAAAGGGGGCUUGGAUCCUGAGUUGCUGUGGCUGUGGCGUAGGCUGGCAGCUGUAGUUCUGAUUCAACUCCUAGCCUGGGAAUCUCCAUAUACCAUGGGUGUGGCCCUAAAAAAACAAAAGACAGACAACAACAACAACAACAACACACUAAUCCAUAAGCUCACAGUUCUGUAGCUUAGAAGUCCAGGCAGGUCAGGCUGGGUUCCAUGAUCAGGGUUUCAGGCCAAAAUCAAAGAUUUGGCGGGUUGUGUUCCUAUCUGGAGGCUUGGGUGGAGAACACACUUUCGGGCUCAAAGAGGUUGUCCACCUUGCAGUUGUAGAACUGAGGGCCCAUUUCCUUGUUGGAUGUCAGCUGGGAUUCUCUGCUGCUUGAGGCCCUGAGCAUUUCUUCUCACGAGGUCUCCUCUAUCUUCAAAGCAACAAUGGGGUCAAGUUCUUUCAUGCUUCGGAUCUUUCUUUUCUGCUCCAGCUGGAGAAAGCAUUCCAUUAAAAGCUCUUGUGAUUACAUUAGGUCUGUCUGCAUAAUGCAGGAUAAUCUCUGUAAGGAAAUAAACUGUGCUUUUUCACAAGAAAAUCAUGGAACUGAUAUUGCAUCAUCUUCACAGGUUCUGGGGAUUAGGAUUGGCAGGUUUGGGGAGCCGAGACUAUUUUAGAAAUUCUGCAUUCUACAGCUGCCCAUCCACUUCCCUGUUUAGCACCCUUUUACCUCAUUGGCACACAUUCAUCCUUCAAUCUUGUUAUCAGCUGCUAUUUGGCAAUCCCUGGGUCAAUGUUACUACUGUCAUGUCUUCCACUGAAGCUAUAUUAGGUAUAAUUUAUUUCCCUUACUAGGCAAAAACCAGGGUAGGAAUGAGGCCAGCCUCACAUGUAUGCCCGGUCUUGAACAUGGAAAACAGUAGGCUGACCUGACUUCAAGGUGCCUGAGGCAUCAGGCAGUCAGGCCUGGGAAUUCCAAUCAGAAACAAAGCAAUGACAAAGAGGGGACAGGUCAUUCCAAGGGCCAUAUGAGCAACACUGACAGCUAAGCACUCCUGUGCUCAGAGGUAGUUAUGACUGAAGAUGAUUUCAGGGCCAUGGCAGUCUCCACCAUCACACCAAUCAUGCUGCACGACAGCCCCCAAUGUCCCCACCUCCUAAACGCAAUUUGACUUUUCUCAGAAGCCCAGAUUGGUUCAGAAAAGUUCCCUUGGGAGCAAAGCAUACUUAUCCAGAGUAAUUUAAGGAGUUCUCAGUCAAGUAUUGGUUUAGCUUUACUUCCCAUCUUUAAAUUGGGAAAAAUUUAAAGUAUCGAAAACAAAAAACAGAGUGAAGAGAGGGAAAGUCUAGACACUCUCGAAAGGCCAAAACAAAACAAAGGCUUGAAGACAGAAGCCAGAGAUGACCUUCCUUGGCCACAUUUUUACCGUGAUUCUGUGGUGGACACCGUGGGGUGCAGCCCAGUCUCCCUGUCAAGUUUGAGGCACCUAUUCUCCUGCUGCCAAGAAUGUUGUAACUGCUGGCUCUCAGCCCUCAGCUAAGAAAGGUACCUUGUCCAAGAUCAUGCCUUCUCCCUGGGCAGUCCUUAUCCAGUGACCUGGUAAAUACAGGUUUCUCAGCUACCUGAAAGGAGACCGUUCCUAUGAAAACUUUCUUCUUUUUAGUGCCACACCUGUGGCAGAUGGAAGUUCCCAGGCUAGGGGGUCUUCAAAUCAGAGCUGCAGCUGCCAGCUUAUACCACAGCCACAGCAAUCCCAGAUCCAAGCUGUGUCUGUGACCUACACCACAGCUCACAGCAACGCAGGAUCCUUAGCUCACUGAGUGAAGCUGGGGAUCAAACUCUCAUCCUCAUGGAUAGGAGUUGGGUUCUUAACCUGCUGAGCCAUAAUGGGAAUGCCUUCUGUGAAAACUCUCAUGAACUGAAAGCGCAUAAAGCAAAGAAGCAAUUACCUUAGGACGCAUCUUGCUAACAGAUGCACAAAGUAAAUCAAGAUAGAGCAUAGAUGUUCAACAACACAGUUCAAAACUAUGGUGGCCUGAUGCUGAGGUCCUGAGUGUAGUUCCCAGGGAAGGAGCUUGGCGAUGCCACUCUCCCUCCUCUGCUCAAGGUGCGUGUGGUCACUGUAAAGGUUGCAUCACUGCAAAAGCAAUGCUGAAUACUAUUUUCACUUUUCACCUUUCUUUCAUAAAAGUAAAAACCCUCUUUGGAUUUCUUCAGAUGAGCAAAAAUAGGAACUAAUAUAGCUGUUUCAUAAAAGUGAAGUGGAGGAAAGCAACUUUUGAAAAAUGAAGGAUACCUGUAUAAGGGCCAGGUGGACAAGGCCGAAGGGCCAACCCAGGUCCAGAGUUUCCUUGAGGCACUGGCUCAGGCCCUUCUUAGGUCUGUUUUAGAGUUCAGCACCUCCCUCUGCACACACCUAUCCCCUUUGCUUCCCUGUGGGUGUGAAUCCUGCAUGCUCAUCUCAGGCCAGCAACAGAUCCUAAAAAUGUCCCAUUAACCCUGAGGAUAGACUGACUACCAGAGCCUCCACAUUGGAUGUGUUUGUGUGUGUAGGCAUACAUGUAUGUGUUCUUGGGUUUAAUUGGAGAAACAAUGGGCAGACAAUCUAGCAAUCUAAAAUAUGACUGGAAAACAAAUUUACUGAUUUUAAAACUGCAUUAUGAACUUCGCAUUUUAAGUCUCAAUUUCAUCUGCCAAAAACGGGUCAGAAAGCUAAUAAUGAAAAGGUGAAAAAUUUGGAGAGGCAUAGACAUUGUGAAUAUACUAAUUUUGAUUUUAUAUGUUAAGGUCACAUGCCUGAUGUGAUUUCAGUUUGGUAGGAGAGUAGACUGCAAUUAUUCCUAUUCACCAACUCACCCUUUCACCACCCCGGUCUUUAUCUUCCAGUGGGGAGAUGAAUUGAGAGCAAAAGAUAAAAUUACUAGCUGGAAUUUUGUGAAUAUCAUACUCAAUGACUUCUAGGAUACAGUCUUACAUGAAGAGAUUUAAGAAAAUAGAAUUGGGGAAAAACAGAAUUACAUAUUUAGUUGAAAAUUAGAAAGAUGACAUUUUAGAUUCACAGAGAGCAAGAAUUAUAUCUCCCGAAGAUGCCUGCAAAGAGUAGGUCAUGCAUAAGUGUUUGUUCAACUAAAAGGAUCUCAAGCUGUGACUUCAUUAGUUAAACAUUAUAGCUGAAACAUAUCUGUGUGCUGUGGUCACAAUCCAGGGGGUUUAGGCUAGGUUUGGUAUUGACGACUCCUCUAGCUUUAAAUAAAUUCAUUCUGUUACGUCAGUUUUUCUUAAACGUCAGUGUGCCUUGGCUCUAGAAGCCAGACUGUUCCUUGUCAGAUCAUUUCUGUCAUUCUUUCUCACAUAAAAGAGGGUGUGUAUUGAUUGGUGUACUAUGAGGGUGUUAGGAGAUUUUAUGUCUAUUUUACCACACUCCAGCCUCCUGGGUGUGAUUUUGACUUAUAUUAAAGCUAAUAAAAGAAGUCAAAUGUUUGCUGACUUAGAACAGGUUGGGUUGAACCUCAGGAAGAAGCACCUGUGGAGCGGUGAAAGAGGAAGUAACGAUGACAGCUCCUAAUGUAAACAUGAUACACCAUGGGGUGGGGAUGAUUUCCAAUCCUUAGAUGUGAGAAAGACAGUAACUUUUAGAGAGGAAACCAUUAACAUCCUAGCACCCUACUAUGCAAGGUAGAGUCUGGAAAAAAAGUGUCAGUUCAAAGUAAAUGAAUCUACUUUCUUUAACUUCGUUAAAAACAAUAAAAAUAAUACUCUCACCGAUGAUAAUAACUGGACUUUUGGUAAAGUCACUGCCUCACAUUUUUAUACCAUCUGUUUCCCUUGCUUCACUUAUUUGAAUUUCAGUAACAAGAAGAAGUUUGGGUAAUUCUACAUCCAAGAUUUUAGAUGCAGAAAGGAAAAUAAAAGAACCCUUUAAAGCACAUCCUGAUAAGCAGGUUUCAAAUAAUCCUAUGCAGUGAUCUAGUGUUAUUAAAGAGCAAAUUUAGAAAAUAUUCUGCAAGUUUAGGAUUUGUAAAGACUACUGAAUUACUGAGGCUAAUUAAAUUACCCUGCUUAAUACACAGCAAAGAUUCCAUAUUAAAGCACUAAUUUACAUUACUAU
This 6485-nucleotide long non-coding RNA is filed under the name Sus scrofa (pig). RNAcentral's name for it is "lncRNA (ENSSSCG00065053329.1)". Lineage: Eukaryota; Metazoa; Chordata; Mammalia; Artiodactyla; Suidae. The record is from RNAcentral.